CUGAGGGAUCCCUGCCGUCUGUUGCCCAACGCUUCCAUAACAACAAUCGCUUUCAAGGUCUUAACGAUGCACGGGCCUUAUCCAGUAUAUCCUUUCGGAUUUUGGGGUGAUAAUCAUCACAAUGACUGGUGACUCGUUGACAUUAACAGAUAAGAGACGUGGAAUGUGGAACCACAUAUGGAAACAUCUCAUACAAGUUUCCUUAACAGAUGACUUAGAGGACAAGUCUACAGAUCUGAGCAACAAAUGGCAAAUAUCCAGAAAGGAGUCAAGCCUGGCUAGAAGUUGGAAGAAGAUAGGUGCCUAGCAUAACUGUCAUCAGAGAGGCUUCACCCAGCAACUGAUGGAAACUGAUGCAAAGACUCACAGCCAAUCAUUCAGUAGAGCUUGGGGAAUCCCAAGAACAGGAGGAAGAAUUCAAAGAGCCAGAGGGGACAAGGACACCAAAUGAAAACCUUCAGGAUCAACUAACCUAGGUCCACAGGGGCCAACAGAGACUGAACCACCAACCAGAGAGCAUGUAUGGGACGGACCUAGGCUGUCUCUACACGUAUGUAACAGUGGUGCAGCUGGGUCUUCAGGUGGGACUCCUAACAGCGGGAGCAGGGGCUCCCUUUCAUUACACUGCUUGCCCUUGGAUACCUUUCCCCAAAAUGGACUGGCUGGUCAAGAGAAGAACAUGCUCCUGCCGGAAGGAUGGCUAAGUGCCCACUCUACCUACAAGUAAAAUGGAUCUUUUCCUUCUUCUUUUUUUUUUUUUUUUGGUUCUUUUUUUCAGAGCUGGGGACCAAACCCAGGGCCUUGCGCUUCCUAGGUAAGCGCUCUACCACUGAGCCAAAUCCCCAGCCCGGAUCUUUUCCUUCCUUUAACAAAACAGGGCUGUAUUAUUUUGAAUAUGUUUGCUUGUCUUACUGCAACUUGAUAUGCCAAAGCUGAUUGACAGCCAUGGAGGCCUCCCCUUUUCUGAGGAGGAAGGGAGGAGGAGUGGGUGGUAGGUGAAGGGAGGUAAGACAGAGGAGGGGAAGCUGACAUCUGGAUUAAAGUAAAUAAAUAACUUAAUAAAAAGUACACAAGGUGACACCUUUGCUGACUUUGAAUUGGCCUGCUCAUCUUUAAAAUAGGGAUCGUAAUCUUAACCUCCUCCUGAGUAAUGUUCUGAAAUUCAAGCUGUAUAAGAACAUCUUAUAAAAUCUGUAGCAAUAUUUCUAAAAAACUGUAUCUGACCUAUAGUACAGAAAUUUACUAAAGAUCCCUAUGACCUACUUCAACGAAUAAUCUCUUCCUUUACUUACAUCACAUCACAGGACUUCUUUAGACUAUUUAAUAUGUUGUAAUUUAUUUUUCAUGAGAAAAUCUACAGAAAUCAGCAGCUCAUUUACUGAAGUUUUCAUAAAUGUCGUUUCCUGCGUUUUAAGCCAACUACCUGAACAAUAUCACAUUCUCUCUCUGAGCAGGGAACUGUGGGAAUCCUGCAAGGCAUAUCUCCCUUUGUCCCCAUUCCCUCUUCCAGGAUCUGAGGCAAUCCUUUGAGAACACGCUCUUAGUGUUUGCAGAAAGGCUCUGCUUUGUUUUGAGUCUAGAUUUCUGCUUUGUCCCACAGUGGCUUACAGAGAGCUGAAGCUGCCAUCUAAGGCAGUCUACACAAAUCCACAACCUUUUACUCUUUCUCAGGGUCCUGAAGUGGGAAACCGGAGCGUGGUCCAAGGGUUUGGUAGCCUAUCUACCACUGUUACCUCCAAGGCGAACAGAGUAGAAACGCUUUUGAUAUUGUCUGAGAGACACAUAAUUCUGAGUUCUCAGUGACCUCGAGCACUGCUCAGUAGAAGGGCAGACAGGUCAGUGACGGCAGUUAGAUGUAGGCAUUACUAACUGGGACUAUCCAUUUUUAGUAGUAUUGUGUACAGGAAGGCCUAACUGUACACUCAGGGAGGGACUCGAUUUAGCAAAAAGGAAAAGGAAAUAACCACAAUAAAGAGAUUCCAGGAGGUCAUUUCAGUGUUGCUAAAGAGAGAGCAUCAUUUUCACGACUGAAUCACGCACUGCAGUUCUGGUCCCAUUUAGUUCUUCAGCUGGAGAGAUGCUGAGUACAUCUGGGCGAGAGGGUGAGCCAUGCAGGCAGCCAGGCCUGCAUUCUCAUGGAGGAAGUUAGCCUCUACGACACCUGUAGCAGGAAAAUCCUCCAGAACACAACAAUCUCCUCCUCAGAAUUAUCUUGUGCUCUUCUGAAGAAUUUCUUUUCUGUGGAAUAUAUCCAUGUUCCCUCAGAGAGUAACUUAGCAAAUGUUAUGUCUUACAUGGCCCACCAUGUAAGGUUAAAUGAAGUAUAUUUCUACUUUGUAUUAAGUGAGCUAUUAGGCCAUGUUUAGGAACCAGUCUGUUUUCCAAAACAGUGCUUGGUCUUACCAGAAUGAGACGACAAAGCUGAAAAGGAGAACCACUGACCUCAGA
This is a non-coding RNA of Rattus norvegicus (Norway rat), 2448 nucleotides long. The record is from RefSeq and is a predicted model, not a curated record. Lineage: Eukaryota; Metazoa; Chordata; Mammalia; Rodentia; Muridae.